Molecule: ribosomal RNA, 882 nt
Filed under: uncultured bacterium
Lineage: Bacteria
Description: bacterial SSU rRNA
Rfam family: Bacterial small subunit ribosomal RNA
Source: RNAcentral
GAGUUUGAUCCUGGCUCAGGAUGAACGCUAGCGGGAGGCUUAACACAUGCAAGUCGAGGGGCAGCACGAUGUAGCAAUACGUUGGUGGCGACCGGCGCACGGGUGAGUAACACGUAUGCAACCUACCCUGUACAGGGGGAUAACCCGGAGAAAUUCGGACUAAUAUCCCAUAAAGAUAUUUGAGGGCAUCCUUGAAUAUUUAAAGCUCAGGCGGUACGGGAUGGGCAUGCGGAACAUUAGCUAGUUGGCAGGGUAACGGCCUACCAAGGCAACGAUGUUUAGGGGACCUGAGAGGGUGAUCCCCCACACUGGUACUGAGACACGGACCAGACUCCUACGGGAGGCAGCAGUGAGGAAUAUUGGUCAAUGGGCGCAAGCCUGAACCAGCCAUCCCGCGUGCAGGAAGACGGCCCUAUGGGUUGUAAACCGCUUUUCCAGGGGGAGAAUUUUUCUGUCGUGACAGGAAUUGACGGUACCCUGGGAAUAAGCAUCGGCUAACUCCGUGCCAGCAGCCGCGGUAAUACGGAGGAUGCGAGCGUUAUCCGGAUUUAUUGGGUUUAAAGGGUGCGUAGGCGGAUUGAUAAGUCAGUGGUGAAAACCUGCAGCUUAACUGUAGACUUGCCGUUGAUACUGUCAGUCUUGAGUGUGGUCAAGGUAGGCGGAAUGUGUAAUGUAGCGGUGAAAUGCUUAGAUAUUACACAGAACACCGAUUGCGAAGGCAGCUUACUGGGCCAUUACUGACGCUGAUGCACGAAAGCGUGGGGAUCGAACAGGAUUAGAUACCCUGGUAGUCCACGCCGUAAACGAUGAUCACUCGCUGUUAGCGAUACACAGUUAGCGGCUAAGCAAAAGCAUUAAGUGAUCCACCUAGGGAGUACGGCC